GAUAGUAACACGUGGGAACGUACCCUUCAGUUCGGAACAACCCAGGGAAACUUGGGCUAAUACCGAAUACGUCCGUAAGGAGAAAGAUUUAUCGCUGAAGGAUCGGCCCGCGUCUGAUUAGCUAGUUGGUGAGGUAACGGCUCACCAAGGCGACGAUCAGUAGCUGGUCUGAGAGGAUGAUCAGCAUCACUGGGACUGAGACACGGCCCAGACUCCUACGGGAGGCAGCAGUGGGGAAUAUUGGACAAUGGGCGCAAGCCUGAUCCAGCCAUGCCGCGUGGAUGAUGAAGGCCCUAGGGUUGUAAAGUCCUUUCGACGGGGAAGAUAAUGACGGUACCCGUAGAAGAAGCCCCGGCUAACUUCGUGCCAGCAGCCGCGGUAAUACGAAGGGGGCUAGCGUUGCUCGGAAUCACUGGGCGUAAAGCGCACGUAGGCGGACUCUUAAGUCGGUGGUGAAAUCCUGGAGCUCAACUCCAGAACUGCCUUCGAUACUGAGAGUCUCGAGUCCGGGAGAGGUGAGUGGAACUGCGAGUGUAGAGGUGAAAUUCGUAGAUAUUCGCAAGAACACCAGUGGCGAAGGCGGCUCACUGGCCCGGUACUGACGCUGAGGUGCGAAAGC
RNAcentral lists this ribosomal RNA (619 nucleotides) under uncultured Hyphomicrobiales bacterium. RNAcentral's name for it is "bacterial SSU rRNA". It matches the Rfam family "Bacterial small subunit ribosomal RNA", at positions 106 to 760 of the family's 1533-position model. Lineage: Bacteria; Pseudomonadati; Pseudomonadota; Alphaproteobacteria; Hyphomicrobiales. The record is from RNAcentral.